This 691-nucleotide long non-coding RNA is filed under the name Mytilus galloprovincialis (Mediterranean mussel). Lineage: Eukaryota; Metazoa; Mollusca; Bivalvia; Mytilida; Mytilidae. The record is from RNAcentral.
UGAAUAUUUCAAUUGGAAUUGUCAAAAUAAUCCAUAAUCUCAAAAACACUUGGAAAAAGAAGAGUAUUUCAAAGAAUAAUUAUGCUUACAAUUUCAAGAGUAUCAAUUACAGGAAAGAAACACUGUUAUUCAAUAUGAAAUAAAUCAAGUAAAAUAAAUGCCUUAUAAUCAUAAUAAUGUUGAAAAUUAGGAGACUUCAAGCUAAUGCUUGUGAUAAUUUCAUCUAAAAAUUCCACAACCAAUUUAGAAGGAUAUCUUGUCCUUCAAACUUUCAAAAUUAAAUUCAAAUAAAUAAAAGUAAAUGAGAGACACCUGUAUAAUUUACAUUUACAACCAUUUAAGUGAUAAGAUCUAUUUCCAAAAUAUGUAAAAAGCAAAAACAAAACAAAGUUAUUAUAUGGCACAUAAAAUGUAACAACCUCAAAAUUAUCACUAAACUUGUAAUACACUAUGUACAAAAGAAUGAAGAGAAACAUGCUUCUUUUUUUCAUCCAGGCCUUUCAGUGUCUUUCAUGACAAUAACAAAAAUAUACAAUUGGAAAGGCAGAAGCAACAUAUACUGUAGUCCUGCAAUUUUUCUAGAACGUUUUUUUGUUUUUCUCGGAUGUAUAUAAAACAACUUAGUAUGAAGGUUCCAAAUAAAAUUUGCAUAGCUUUCAUCAUUAAAAAUCGACUUCCCAAGUGUAUUUCC